GGCCUGCUGGCCCAAUGGCAAGGCGUUUGACUUCGAAUCAAAAGAUUACAGGUUCGACCCCUGUGCAGGUCA
Molecule: transfer RNA, 72 nt
Organism: Blumeria graminis f. sp. tritici 96224
Lineage: Eukaryota; Fungi; Ascomycota; Leotiomycetes; Helotiales; Erysiphaceae
Rfam family: tRNA
About the family: Transfer RNA (tRNA) molecules are approximately 80 nucleotides in length. Their secondary structure includes four short double-helical elements and three loops (D, anti-codon, and T loops).
Source: Rfam